UGCGAAGGGGGCUAGCGUUGUUCGGAAUUACUGGGCGUAAAGGGCGCGUAGGCGGCCUGCUAAGUCGAACGUGAAAUCCCUGGGCUCAACCCAGGAACUGCGUCCGAUACUGGUUGGCUUGAAUCCGGGAGAGGGAUGUGGAAUUCCAGGUGUAGCGGUGAAAUGCGUAGAUAUCUGGAGGAACACCGGUGGCGAAGGCGACAUCCUGGACCGGUAUUGACGCUGAGGCGCGAAAGCCAGGGGAGCAAACGGG
RNAcentral lists this ribosomal RNA (253 nucleotides) under uncultured bacterium. RNAcentral describes it as "partial 16S ribosomal RNA". It matches the Rfam family "Bacterial small subunit ribosomal RNA", at positions 524 to 776 of the family's 1533-position model. The record is from RNAcentral.